RNAcentral lists this ribosomal RNA (2130 nucleotides) under Triticum aestivum (bread wheat). RNAcentral describes it as "partial small subunit ribosomal RNA". The record is from RNAcentral. Lineage: Eukaryota; Viridiplantae; Streptophyta; Magnoliopsida; Poales; Poaceae.
AUGAACUCGCUCAUUGCUCUAGAAGGUGCUUGGGCUUGUUUCUCUGACCGAUUAGCUGCGACAUCUCACAUGGAUCUUCACUGCCUCAUAGACCUAUUUUUUAUUCUCUCGUCAAUUCUACAUGUCUGCUCGUCCAUUGCAUGCCAGGUAAAUCAUAUGCAUAACCAUGGAAUGGCACAUACUGGCCCCAGGCUGUACAAAUUCAUCGCAAGGCCGGUUAAGCUGUAUAACAAAAAUAUUCGCAAUCUGCAAAAUAUCAUCGAAGACAAGAAAACACCUGACCAUUACUACGUAUGCCACAUGACAGAAACAUUUUCUACUGACGGCAAAAGAAUGUAUUGUAGCACACACUUUUCUAAGAGAAGUCUCUUCCCGCACAUGGAUGCUGAUCAUGAUGAGCUACCAAUCAGUACAGGAGACGGGACCACCAGUGUCAUGGCCCUCUUUAUCAAGGGCGUCGACAACAAGGCUACACUCACAAAGAACUGGAGCAGCUUCUUCCAUAAGGCAAACAUGAAGAAAGGAUGUGCAUAUGCUUUCACCUUCAAGUCGACAUCUGUGGAUGGGUUUUCGCUGGCCUACUCGACCGUGCGUUACCCUGCUGCUUUGGUGGCUCCGGUUAGCACUUGGGCCAGUGGUGCAGUGGCUUGGGUUAUAAGUGGCUCGGGUGAGGGCCGCCUCCUCUCCUCCUCGAUUCUUCUGCUGCCGCAGCCACCCCCCUCUCCUCUCCCCCAAUUCUCCCACCACCGCCGCCGCCUCUCGUCUCAUCCAUGUAGCCAGGGCCUAGACGUCAUCGGCUCAGUCCGCGGCGGUAUGGAUGAGGAGGCGAGAGCUUCAGAGGCAGGGGCGAGGAAGCAGAGAGUCCUUCCCGAGGGCGCCCCAACCUGCCAGAUCUUCCAACUCAUUGGCCCAGGCAAGGUAAAAAUGUUGGAUCCGGCGGUGGCUGGAAUCCCUUAUCGCCGAAGGAUGGCGUGCAUGACGUAUGACCAGAAAAUCAAUAGGCAGAUGGAGCAGGACGGGGUGACGAUUCCCGUUUGGCGGCGUUCGCGUGUUUUGGCUAGCGGCCUGCACUUCCUUCUUCCCCUGCCUGGGGCGCCGCCAUGGCCAGUAGGAGAAGCACGGGUGACCGCAGCUGAGCUUCCAUGUAAGAUAGCCCCGAGCCCCCGACACAUCCUCUGCCACACCAACCUUGCAGCAUCUGGCCUUUGCAGGAUGCAGAAAAUGAUGGAGUGCAUGAUGCUUCAGCAGAUUCUGCAUUAUUGUCAAACGCUUUUCCUGAGCUAUGACUUGACUGGCUCCAGUCUGGUUCACCGCUGCAUUUUGUUUGUUGAUGCCUUGACUUUUAGGCUGUCACAGCUAUUCUUCUUUCAUCUAUAUCCUGAAGGAGACCCGAUGGCAUGGCUGUACAAGUGGCACCCCCGGUCAGGUGGACGUUGGAUGCUUUCUUCAGUGUUUCUCUUUUCCCGCAGGCUUGAUUUCCUUGUGGUCGUAACCCAACUCCCAAAAGUUUCACAAAAACAUAAACAUGCUUGGAUGUGUGUCCUUGCUGGCGACCUCGCUGUCUCCAACCCCUCCGUCUGGACAGUACAAGACUUCACCAAACUAUCAAUUGAAGUGCAGGUUCAAGGAUCUGUGGUAGGUGUAUUUAGUUUUCCUAUGAUGAUGGCACAUUAUGAAUACUAUACACUCUCUUCAUUUCUGUUUUCCCCUCCUAAGCCAUUUAUUCUGUCUACCACAGAUAACAACAACUAUCACGUUGGUGAUUUCCCUGAUAUCUCGUUCUACAAGUGUGUCAUAUGGACCAAUGAAAGAAAAUAUAUUUUGGAGAUAAUAACUAUAUGGGCUACUCCAAAUGGAGGUCCUAAUGUGAUGAACGACGUGAUGAGGGAGAUAGUCGAUGUCCGUGAUGUGGCUGAUGCUUUGCGUAUGGUAUACAAGAAACCGGAAUCAUCUGGAAGAUAUAUCAGCGCAUCAAACUACAUUACCACAAAAGCCAUGCUGGAAUUGUUAAGGAAGGCGCGCCCUAACUACAAUUACGUGAAGUGGUGGGUCUCUUACCAUGCGUUCCUUGUAUGCAGCAAAUGGUGCAUUCUGUUUCCUGAACGGUCGUGCUUUGUUUCCAUGGUUUGA